RNAcentral lists this ribosomal RNA (228 nucleotides) under Thalassiosira minuscula. Its description in RNAcentral is "partial Bacterial large subunit ribosomal RNA". It matches the Rfam family "Bacterial large subunit ribosomal RNA", at positions 696 to 920 of the family's 2925-position model. Lineage: Eukaryota; Bacillariophyta; Thalassiosirophyceae; Thalassiosirales; Thalassiosiraceae. The record is from RNAcentral.
GUAGUCUUUGAUAUAAGACCCGAAACUAAGUGAUCUAACCAUGAACAGGCUGAAUUUAAAGCGGUAACGCUUAUUGAAGGGCCGAACUCGUGUAUGUAGAAAAAUACUGAGAUGAUUUGUGGUUAGGGGUGAAAGGCCAAUCAAACUUGCUGAUAGCUGGUUCUCCGCGAAAUCUAUUUAGGUAGAGCGUCGACCGAAUACCCUCGGGGGUAGAGCACUGGAUGGGCU